GGCUGAAUAGGAAUAGCUCUGCUCUAUAGCUCCCAGUGAGAUCGAUGCAGAAAAGGGGUGAUUUCUGCAUUUCCAACUGAGUAUGGAUUUAUCAACACCUGUCUGCAAUCUCUUGUGACAGAGAAAUUUGGCGAAGAAAUAUGGGAAAAAUUGAAAAGCAAGUGCUCAGGGAAAUCAAGACAGGAGAACUGUUGCCAUCAUGAGCUAUGCCGACAGUCAGCAGCUGAUCCCCGACAGAGACGCAGCAGACGCAGACGCUCCUGAUGAAAUCAUCCCUGUGGGGAGUGCAGGGCCAGAUGGGGACUCCAUGGAGACAGCCGACCGGCGACAGCCUUCAGUUCCGACAAAGACACAUCACCUUGCAAAUGACACUGUG
RNAcentral lists this small RNA (376 nucleotides) under Pongo abelii (Sumatran orangutan). RNAcentral describes it as "processed transcript". Lineage: Eukaryota; Metazoa; Chordata; Mammalia; Primates; Hominidae. The record is from RNAcentral.